RNAcentral lists this ribosomal RNA (600 nucleotides) under Triticum aestivum (bread wheat). RNAcentral describes it as "partial small subunit ribosomal RNA". Lineage: Eukaryota; Viridiplantae; Streptophyta; Magnoliopsida; Poales; Poaceae. The record is from RNAcentral.
UGUAGUCUCAAUGAUGAUGCAUACAUGUCAAAUAUGGGUGUUGGGUCCAACAAUUCGCAUUGGUCUCAAACCAAUGACAUCCAUUUGGAAGACCAUGAGUUUGAGGUGGACGAGGAGGGUGAGGGCAUUGUCGACACGCCGAAAGGAAGAGCGGGCAAUUGCAGCACCAACAAUGAUAAGUUACCAUGCAAUACUUAUUUGCAAGUGUCAAGGGAUCCAUCCAUUGGAGGUGAUCAAAGUAGAGAUGCGUAUUGGGGGCGAAUGAAAGAAUACUUUGAUGCUCACAACAUGAGUGGAAUUGUCCGCUCGGAGAGAUCACUUCGGUCCCGAUGGUCCACAAUCAACUCGGAUUGUCAAAAGUGGGCGGCCGCACAAAAGUCAGUUGACAAGAUUAAGCCAAGUGGCACAAAUGAGGAUGAUAGAGUAAGUGGCAUCUCAUAUAUGUUCAUCUCAUACUUGUUUUUGGUGUCCGAAGUGCUAACUUGUUUUGUUUUUCUUGUAGUUCAACAUUGCACAAAACUUGUUCAAAGAAGAGACGAGGAAAACCAAGAAGGGGAAGAUCAAGAAAGGAAGGUUCUUUACCUUGUCUCAUUGCUAUGA